AGAGGAAAGGAGAAAGUCAUCGAGGACUAAAACGGGAGAAUUACGGUUAGUAGAAGUCAAGUGUUCCGGCUCAGCAUCCAGAACAAUCCCGACUCCAACACAAAUUUGGUGAUGUAUAUUUUUCUUUUGGGUAAAGGUGGCAUGUACAUAGGUGUUGUUUAGUCACUUGAAUAUGUAUAUUACUUUGGGUAGUGAAGGAUGAAUUAUAAAAUUUAGAUGGUUAAAUGAAAUAGUAAGGAAAGUACAUGAUAUUUUGAUACAUGAACAUUAAGUUGUUAAAUGAAUGAAGUUUUUAAUCAA
Molecule: long non-coding RNA, 300 nt
Organism: Gossypium arboreum
Lineage: Eukaryota; Viridiplantae; Streptophyta; Magnoliopsida; Malvales; Malvaceae
Exons: 2
Source: RefSeq, a predicted model, not a curated record